Molecule: small RNA, 169 nt
Organism: Brucella melitensis
Lineage: Bacteria; Pseudomonadati; Pseudomonadota; Alphaproteobacteria; Hyphomicrobiales; Brucellaceae
Rfam family: Brucella sRNA 0602
About the family: Highly induced in stationary phase and modulate the intracellular survival.
Source: Rfam
UUCAAUUAUUGAAAUAUUGUGAGUAAUAUAUUCCAAUCCCAACUUUUGUCCAGUUGGGCGGCGGAAGAACGUUCUCUUUGAGGGCAUUGAAACGGUAUGGAUGCGGGAUCGCAAAGCAGCUUGAAGAAACGAAAACGCCGCCCGGAAAAGGCGGCGUUUUGAUCUUGAU